RNAcentral lists this small RNA (149 nucleotides) under Arabidopsis thaliana (thale cress). Its description in RNAcentral is "ATSL130460". Lineage: Eukaryota; Viridiplantae; Streptophyta; Magnoliopsida; Brassicales; Brassicaceae. The record is from RNAcentral.
UUUCAUUUCAUUUUGCUCCCUUGUAGUAAAACCAUAAUAUUGAACUUUUAAAUCAAAUUGUGAAUUGUAGACUGGACAACAAAUGAAGGAGAAGGCGCAAGGAGCUGCUGAUGUCGUCAAGGACAAGACCGGCAUGAACAAAAGCCACU